GACGAACGCUGGCGGCGUGCUUAACACAUGCAAGUCGAACGGAAAGGCCCUGCUUUUGUGGGGUUCUCGAGUGGCGAACGGGUGAGUAACACGUGAGUAACCUGCCCUUGACUUUGGGAUAACUUCAGGAAACUGGGGCUAAUACCGUAUAGGAGCUCCUGCUGCAUGGUGGGGGUUGGAAAGUUUCGGCGGUUGGGGAUGGACUCGCGGCUUAUCAGCUUGUUGGUGGGGUAGUGGCUUACCAAGGCUUUGACGGGUAGCCGGCCUGAGAGGGUGACCGGGGACAAUGGGACUGAGGGAGGGAGCAGACUCGUACGGGAGGCAACAGGGGGGAGUAUUGCCCAGUGGGCGGAAGCGUGAGACAGCGACGCCGCGUGCGGAAUGACGGCCUUCGGGUUGUAAACAGCUGUCGCCUGUGACGAAGCGUGAGUGACGGUAAUGAGUAAAGAAGCACCGGCUAACUACGUG
Molecule: ribosomal RNA, 468 nt
Filed under: uncultured bacterium
Lineage: Bacteria
Description: partial 16S ribosomal RNA
Rfam family: Bacterial small subunit ribosomal RNA
Source: RNAcentral